GACAGUCUCAGUUCAGAUUGUAGGCUGAAACUCGCCUAUAUGAAGUCGGAAUUGCUAGUAAUCGCAGAUCAGCAUGCUGCGGUGAAUACGUUCCCGGGCCUUGUACACACCGCCCGUCAAGCCAUGGGAGCCGGGGGUGCCUGAAGUUCGUGACCGCAAGGAGCGACCUAGGGCAAAACUGGUGACUGGGGCUAAGUCGUAACAAGGUAAC
This 211-nucleotide ribosomal RNA is filed under the name uncultured bacterium. RNAcentral describes it as "partial 16S ribosomal RNA". It matches the Rfam family "Bacterial small subunit ribosomal RNA", at positions 1281 to 1500 of the family's 1533-position model. The record is from RNAcentral.